GAUGAACGCUGGCGGCGUGCCUAAUACAUGCAAGUCGAGCGAACGGACGCGAAGCUUGCUUCUCUGAUGUUAGCGGCGGACGGGUGAGUAACACGUGGAUAACCUACCUAUAAUACUGGGAUAACUUCGGGAAACCGGAGCUAAUACCGGAUGAUAUUUUGAACCGCAUGGUUCAAAAGUGAAAGACGGUCUUGCUGUCACUUCUAGAUGGAUCUGCGCUGCAUUAGAUAGUUGGUAAGGUAACGGCCUACCAAGGCAACGAUGCAUAGCCGACCUGAGAGGGUGGUCGGCCACACUGGAACGGGAACGCGGACAAUACGCCUACGGGAGGCAGCAGUAGGGAAUCUUACGCAGUGGGCGAGAGCCUGACGGAGCAACGCCGCGUGAGUGAUGAAGGUCUCCGGAUCGUAAAGCUCUGUUAUUAGGGAAGAACAUAUGUGUAAGGAACUGUGCACAUCUUGACGGUACCUAAUCAGAAAGCCACGGCUAACUACGUG
Molecule: ribosomal RNA, 497 nt
Filed under: uncultured bacterium
Lineage: Bacteria
Description: partial 16S ribosomal RNA
Rfam family: Bacterial small subunit ribosomal RNA
Source: RNAcentral